RNAcentral lists this ribosomal RNA (207 nucleotides) under uncultured bacterium. Its description in RNAcentral is "partial 16S ribosomal RNA". It matches the Rfam family "Bacterial small subunit ribosomal RNA", at positions 568 to 774 of the family's 1533-position model. The record is from RNAcentral.
CACGUAGGCGGACCGAUAAGUCGGGGGUGAAAUCCUGGAGCUCAACUCCAGAACUGCCUCCGAAACUGCCGGCCUUGAGUUCGGGAGAGGUGAGUGGAACUGCGAGUGUAGAGGUGAAAUUCGUAGAUAUUCGCAAGAACACCAGUGGCGAAGGCGGCUCACUGGCCCGAUACUGACGCUGAGGUGCGAAAGCGUGGGGAGCAAACA